Molecule: ribosomal RNA, 2889 nt
Filed under: Aeromonas veronii
Lineage: Bacteria; Pseudomonadati; Pseudomonadota; Gammaproteobacteria; Aeromonadales; Aeromonadaceae
Description: 23S ribosomal RNA
Rfam family: Bacterial large subunit ribosomal RNA
Source: RNAcentral
GGUUAAGUGACUAAGCGUACAUGGUGGAUGCCUUGGCAGUCAGAGGCGAUGAAGGACGUACUAACCUGCGAUAAGCUGUGAGAAGUCGGUAAGAGACGCUAUUACUCACAGAUUUCCGAAUGGGGAAACCCACCCGAGAUAACUCGGGUAUCUGUUACUGAAUACAUAGGUAACAGAGGCGAACCGGGAGAACUGAAACAUCUAAGUACCCCGAGGAAAAGAAAUCAACCGAGAUUCCCUCAGUAGCGGCGAGCGAACGGGGAUUAGCCCUUAAGCAUCUUGGAAGUUAGUGGAACGGUCCUGGAAAGGCCGGCGAUACAGGGUGAUAGCCCCGUACACGAAAACAACCUUGAUGUGAAAUCGAGUAGGGCGGGACACGUGACAUCCUGUCUGAAUAUGGGGGACCAUCCUCCAAGGCUAAAUACUCCUGACUGACCGAUAGUGAACCAGUACCGUGAGGGAAAGGCGAAAAGAACCCCUGUGAGGGGAGUGAAAUAGAACCUGAAACCGUGUACGUACAAGCAGUGGGAGCCCUUCGGGGUGACUGCGUACCUUUUGUAUAAUGGGUCAGCGACUUACAUUUUGUAGCGAGGUUAACCGUAUAGGGGAGCCGUAGGGAAACCGAGUCUUAACUGGGCGUCUAGUUGCAAGGUGUAGACCCGAAACCGGGUGAUCUAGCCAUGGGCAGGUUGAAGGUUGAGUAACAUCAACUGGAGGACCGAACCCACUAACGUUGCAAAGUUAGGGGAUGACCUGUGGCUGGGGGUGAAAGGCCAAUCAAACUCGGAGAUAGCUGGUUCUCCCCGAAAGCUAUUUAGGUAGCGCCUCGGACGAAUACUACUGGGGGUAGAGCACUGUUUGGGCUAGGGGGUCAUCCCGACUUACCAACCCCAUGCAAACUCCGAAUACCAGUAAGUAAUAUCCGGGAGACACACGGCGGGUGCUAACGUCCGUCGUGAAGAGGGAAACAACCCAGACCGCCGGCUAAGGUCCCAAAGUUCUGGUUAAGUGGGAAACGAUGUGGGAAGGCUCAGACAGCUAGGAUGUUGGCUUAGAAGCAGCCAUCAUUUAAAGAAAGCGUAAUAGCUCACUAGUCGAGUCGGCCUGCGCGGAAGAUGUAACGGGGCUCAAACCAGGCACCGAAGCCGCGGAUUCACACUUAUGUGUGAGUGGUAGGGGAGCGUUCUGUAAGUCUGCGAAGGUGUAUCGAGAGGUAUGCUGGAGAUAUCAGAAGUGCGAAUGCUGACGUAAGUAACGAUAAAGGGGGUGAAAAGCCUCCUCGCCGGAAGACCAAGGGUUCCUGUCCAACGUUAAUCGGGGCAGGGUGAGUCGACCCCUAAGGCGAGGCCGAAAGGCGUAGUCGAUGGGAAGCAGGUUAAUAUUCCUGCACGACUUGUAAUUGCGAUGGGGGGACGGAGAAGGCUAGGUGGGCCAGGCGACGGUUGUCCUGGUGAAAGUGCGUAGGUGGUGUUUCUAGGCAAAUCCGGAGACACAACACUGAGACACGAGACGAACACACUACGGUGUGGAAGCCAUUGAUGCCCUGCUUCCAGGAAAAGCCUCUAAGCUUCAGAUUACAAGUCAUCGUACCCCAAACCGACACAGGUGGUCGGGUAGAGAAUACCAAGGCGCUUGAGAGAACUCGGGUGAAGGAACUAGGCAAAAUAGAACCGUAACUUCGGGAGAAGGUUCGCUCUUGAUGGUGAAGUCCCUUGCGGAUGGAGCUGUCGGGAGUCGCAGUGACCAGAUGGCUGGGACUGUUUAUCAAAAACACAGCACUCUGCAAACACGAAAGUGGACGUAUAGGGUGUGACACCUGCCCGGUGCCGGAAGGUUAAUUGAUGGGGUUAGCGCAAGCGAAGCUCUUGAUCGAAGCCCCGGUAAACGGCGGCCGUAACUAUAACGGUCCUAAGGUAGCGAAAUUCCUUGUCGGGUAAGUUCCGACCUGCACGAAUGGUGUAACCAUGGCCAUGCUGUCUCCACCCGAGACUCAGUGAAAUCGAAUUCGCCGUGAAGAUGCGGUGUACCCGCGGCUAGACGGAAAGACCCCGUGAACCUUUACUACAGCUUGGCACUGAACAUUGAACCUACAUGUGUAGGAUAGGUGGGAGGCUUUGAAGGCGUGACGCCAGUUGCGCUGGAGCCGUCCUUGAAAUACCACCCUUGUAUGUUUGAUGUUCUAACGCAGGGCCCUGAAUCGGGCUCGCGGACAGUGCCUGGUGGGUAGUUUGACUGGGGCGGUCUCCUCCCAAAGAGUAACGGAGGAGCACGAAGGUUGGCUAAUCCUGGUCGGACAUCAGGAGGUUAGUGCAAUGGCAUAAGCCAGCUUAACUGCGAGACGGACAGGUCGAGCAGGUACGAAAGUAGGUCAUAGUGAUCCGGUGGUUCUGAAUGGAAGGGCCAUCGCUCAACGGAUAAAAGGUACUCCGGGGAUAACAGGCUGAUACCGCCCAAGAGUUCAUAUCGACGGCGGUGUUUGGCACCUCGAUGUCGGCUCAUCACAUCCUGGGGCUGAAGUCGGUCCCAAGGGUAUGGCUGUUCGCCAUUUAAAGUGGUACGCGAGCUGGGUUCAGAACGUCGUGAGACAGUUCGGUCCCUAUCUGCCGUGGGCGUUGGAUGAUUGAAGGGAGUUGCUCCUAGUACGAGAGGACCGGAGUGAACGAACCUCUGGUGUUCGGGUUGUCACGCCAGUGGCACUGCCCGGUAGCUAAGUUCGGAAUCGAUAACCGCUGAAAGCAUCUAAGCGGGAAGCGAGCCCUGAGAUGAGUCAUCCCUGACCCCUUGAGGGUCCUAAAGGGCCGUUGGAGACCACAACGUUGAUAGGUGGGGUGUGUAAGCGCGGUGACGUGUUGAGCUAACCCAUACUAAUUACCCGUGAGGCUUAACCAU